Molecule: long non-coding RNA, 184 nt
Filed under: Dermacentor andersoni
Lineage: Eukaryota; Metazoa; Arthropoda; Arachnida; Ixodida; Ixodidae
Description: uncharacterized LOC126539789
Source: RNAcentral
AGACGAAGCUGCAGGGCCCAGCGGUUUCCGCAGACAUCCACCAGCGACAACUGCCUUCGUGGUGUCGGGCCCUGCAGCUGUUGCUGGGCCAAGUGGCCUUACACAGCCACCGGCUACCCCCCAGGUGCUGCGGCCUACCACCCAGGUGCCGCAGCCAACCUCCCAGGCGCCGCAGCCCACCCCC